Molecule: ribosomal RNA, 494 nt
Filed under: uncultured bacterium
Lineage: Bacteria
Description: bacterial SSU rRNA
Rfam family: Bacterial small subunit ribosomal RNA
Source: RNAcentral
GAUCAUGGCUCAGGACGAACGCUGGCGGCGUGCUUAACACAUGCAAGUCGAACGAGAAUCUAAUGACGGAGUUUCGGACAACUGAUUUAGAGGACAGUGGCGGACUGGUGAGUAACGCGUGAGGAAACCUGCCUUUCAGAGGGGGACAACAGUUGGAAACGACUGCUAAUACCGCAUGACGCAUUUUGAUCGCAUGGUCGAAAUGCCAAAGAUUUAUCGCUGAAAGAUGGCCUCGCGUCUGAUUAGAUAGUUGGUGGGGGUUAAACGGCCCACCAAGUCGACGAUCAGUAGCCGGACUGAGAGGUUGACCGGCCACAUUGGAACUGAGACACGGCCCAGACUCCUACGGGAGGCAGCAGUGGGGAAUAUUGCACAAUGGGGGAAACCCUGAUGCAGCGAUGCCGCGUGGAGGAAGAAGGUUUUCGGAUUGUAAACUCCUGUCUUAAAGGACGAUAAUGACGGUACUUUAGGAGGAAGCUCCGGCUAACUACGUG